GAGCAGCUGCGCCACCGGCUCAGCCUCGCGGCGGGGGAAACCCGAGCUCCCAACAAAACGGUUCCAUCUUUGGCUAGGCCUUUGCCUAGUUUAUCUCCCGGGAGCUGACUUCAUUUCUAAACGUAUAGGGGUUUCUUAGAGGAGCUUCAGAAUACUAAUCAUCGCUAGUGAGGGCACUUGGACACUUUGCUUCACCUCAGCCAGCACCUCUUUUCCCAGCUGUAAAAUGAGAGCUAAUGCUGGCAGCUGUUGGGAUGUCCUCUUCCAGGAAUGGUGAUGAGUUUCCCUGGAUCCAGCCCUGGCUUGGCUGAGGUUUUUCUCACUGUAAGAAGAGGACAAUAGCCUAUGAUCUACAGUGCCCAUUCCAACUCAGAGAAUCUUUACAUCUGGAGAUCUAUAGCAGGGCUAUCCCUAGUGACAUGCGUGAAGAAGCUUGGAAAUGGUGCUGGGUAGGAGCUGAGUGUGCAGAAUGUGGAAAGGCAUUCUAAACCAAAGGAAGAACACGAGUAAAGAUGAUGAAGCAGGGAUAAGGCUAAAAUGAAAUUUGUGAUCUGAUCCACAUACAAGCACAGUGUAGUACAGCUGGAAUAUAGAGAAGAGCUUGAAGACUUAUGAGCAACUAUCCCGGUACUCUUGGAGGCUCUGCAACCACAGUUUGAGAAACUCCGCGUUCAAAGUUAAAAACUGUCACCUGAAUAGUUAAUAACAUCAAAGAUUGUGAAAGCAAGUAUAAAUAACACAGAGAUUAAAAUAAUGAGGCAGGAUCAGAAAGGGUUAUGGUGGCCAUCCAGACAUAAAGAAAUUAGAACGUU
This 812-nucleotide long non-coding RNA is filed under the name Homo sapiens (human). RNAcentral describes it as "non-protein coding lnc-CPN2-4:48". Lineage: Eukaryota; Metazoa; Chordata; Mammalia; Primates; Hominidae. The record is from RNAcentral.